This 775-nucleotide ribosomal RNA is filed under the name uncultured Neocallimastigales. RNAcentral's name for it is "partial large subunit ribosomal RNA". It matches the Rfam family "Eukaryotic large subunit ribosomal RNA", at positions 22 to 640 of the family's 3401-position model. The record is from RNAcentral. Lineage: Eukaryota; Fungi; Neocallimastigomycota; Neocallimastigomycetes; Neocallimastigales.
CAUAGCGACUAUCGUGGCAUAUCAAUAAGCGGAGGAAAAGAAACUAACAAGGAUUCCCUUAGUAACGGCGAGUGAAGCGGGAAGAGCUCAAAUUUGAAAUCUUCAAGGUUUUACCUUGACGAAUUGUAGUUUAAAGAAGUGUUUUCUGCUGGAGUUUUGGCUAAAAGUUCUUUGGAAUAGGACAUCAUAGAGGGUGAGAAUCCCGUAUUUGACCAUUAUUUCCAACUGUGUGAUACACUUUCAAAGAGUCGGAUUGUUUGGGAAUGCAGUCCAAAAUGGGUGGUAAAUUUCAUCUAAAGCUAAAUAUUGGCGAGAGACCGAUAGCGAACAAGUACCGUGAGGGAAAGAUGAAAAGAACUUUGAAAAGAGAGUUAAACAGUACGUGAAAUUGUCAAAAGGGAAGCGUUUGACACCAGUGUUGUUUUUCCGAAAAUCAAUUACGAAUGUUUUAUUUUUGAGAAGUUAUGACUUCAUCGGCUUGCUUCUCUCUUUAUGAAACUUUCUUAAUGCACUUUUCGGUUAACAAGUCAACAUCAAUUUCUUUUGUUGUAAAAGGGUAUGAGGAAGGUGGCUUUCUUUUCGGAGAAAGUGUUUAUAGCCUUGUACCUCUGCAAUCGGAGAGAUUGAGGUCUGCAGCGUAGAUCCUUCGGGGUUAGAUACAUUUGUGCUAAGUUAUAGUUUUUCAUAGACAACUUGUUGACUAUGAUUAAUCAUGUAGCUUACUCGCUUAUGCUAUUUUACCUACGCUUAGGAUGUUGAUAUGCAUGACUGAUAU